RNAcentral lists this small RNA (256 nucleotides) under Bos mutus (wild yak). RNAcentral describes it as "7SK RNA (ENSBMUG00000001842.1)". The stretch from base 1 to 199 matches the Rfam family "7SK RNA". Rfam says of the family: 7SK was discovered as an abundant small nuclear RNA in the mid-70s but a possible function has only recently been suggested. Two independent studies have found that 7SK RNA binds the CDK9/cyclin T complex (known as elongation factor P-TEFb). Lineage: Eukaryota; Metazoa; Chordata; Mammalia; Artiodactyla; Bovidae. The record is from RNAcentral.
GAAUUUGAGGGUGACCCUGAUGGUGACAAGCCACCCCACUGAUCACCAGUGCUUUUUUUAAACUGAUCUUACUGGCUUGCUGGGUGUCCCCUUUCUCCCUUGCAGUUUUGUAUCUGUCCUUCCCAAAGCAGAGUGCUCGGUCAAAACAGACGCUUAUUUUUUUUUUUUUUUUAAAGUUAAAGAACUUUACAUUGAUUUCUAUUUAGGUACACGCCAAAUUUUUAGUUUAUCUGAACAUCCUAGAAUUGAAAAGUGA